Molecule: ribosomal RNA, 506 nt
Filed under: uncultured bacterium
Lineage: Bacteria
Description: bacterial SSU rRNA
Rfam family: Bacterial small subunit ribosomal RNA
Source: RNAcentral
GGCUCAGGAUGAACGCUAGCGACAGGCCUAACACAUGCAAGUCGAGGGGGCAGCGCGGGAAUAGUUACUAGUCCUGGCGGCGACCGGCGCACGGGUGCGUAACAGGUGUGCAAUCUGUCCAUAGUCGGGGGAUAGCCCAGCGAAAGCUGAAUUAACACUCCAUGUGAAUCGAAGCCGCAUGACUUUGAUUUGAAACGCAAGGACUAUGGGUGAGCACGCUUCUGAUUAGCUAGUUGGUGGGGUAACGGCUCACCAAGGCGACGAUCAGUAGGGGUUCUGAGAGGAAGGUCCCCCACAUUGGAACUGAGACACGGUCCAAACUCCUACGGGAGGCAGCAGUGAGGAAUAUUGGUCAAUGGGCGAGAGCCUGAACCAGCCAAGUCGCGUGAAAGGAUGAAGGUUCUAUGGAUUGUAAACUUCUUUUGUCCGAGGGUAAAAAAGGCCACGUGUGGCUUCUUGCAAGUAUCGGACGAAUAAGCAUCGGCUAACUCCGUGCCAGCCGCAGC